This 499-nucleotide ribosomal RNA is filed under the name uncultured bacterium. RNAcentral's name for it is "partial 16S ribosomal RNA". It matches the Rfam family "Bacterial small subunit ribosomal RNA", at positions 30 to 523 of the family's 1533-position model. The record is from RNAcentral.
AUUGAACGCUGGCGGUAUGCUUAACACAUGCAAGUCGAACGAUGAGAAAGAGCUUGCUCUUUCGAUUAGUGGCGGACGGGUGCGUAACGCGUAGGAAUCUACCUAUUAGUGGGGGACAACUUAGGGAAACUUAAGCUAAUACCGCAUACGCCCUACGGGGGAAAGAAGGGGAUCGCAAGACCUUUUGCUAAUAGAUGAGACUGCGUAGGAUUAGCUAGUUGGAGGGGUAAAAGCUCACCAAGGCGACGAUCCUUAACUGGUUUGAGAGAAUGAUCAGUCACACUGGAACUGCGACACGGUCCAGACUCCUACGGGAGGCAGCAGUGGGGAAUAUUGGACAAUGGGCGAAAGCCUGAUCCAGCAAUACCGCGUGUGUGAAGAAGGCCUUAGGGUUGUAAAGCACUUUCAAUUGGAAGGAAAACCUCGAAGCUAAUACCUUCGAGUUUGACAUUACCUUUAGAAGAAGCACCGGCUAACUCCGUGCCAGCAGCCGCAGUAA